This is a long non-coding RNA of Medicago truncatula (barrel medic), 701 nucleotides long. RefSeq lists it as uncharacterized. Lineage: Eukaryota; Viridiplantae; Streptophyta; Magnoliopsida; Fabales; Fabaceae. The record is from RefSeq and is a predicted model, not a curated record. The transcript has 2 exons.
UUCCUCUCAAGAACAACAACAUUUAACCUGCAUAUGAGAAUGAGAGAUCAUGUACACCAAUUGACCCUUAUUCUUCUUCCUCUUCCAUCUCUUUCUCUGACCAUCAUCAAUUCCAGCAACAAAAACCACCCAAUUGACCCUUAAUCUUAAUCUUUGAUGAAUUUGUGUUUUGUUAUAUGGGUUUUGUAAUUCAAAACCAUCAUGAAGGUCCGAUUAAUGAAAAUGAGGGAGGCCCACACCCAAAAAAGGCGGUCGUGCUUCCUUCUGCUCGCUCGUAUGGGACCAGAAAGCCGAACAUCUCGUCACCGCUUCCUCUUCCGAUGUCUCCAUCUCGAUUCAUAACCCUCUUCUUCCUUCUGCUGCUCUCAAGAUUCUCUGUCAUCACGGUGACGGUGUUACUGCUUUGGCUCUUAGCCCUAAUUCCACUUGUCUUGCUUCUGGAUCUGUCGAUCACUCCGUUAAACUCUACAAGUUUCCAGCAAUGAAAUUCAGUAAUUGUAUGGUAUGCAUAUUUGACGCAUUGAUGAUGGUCAGAGAAAGAUGGAAGAAGGAGAAGAAUAAGGGUCAAUUGGUGUGCAUGGAUCUCUUAUUUGGAGGGCCAAAUGUUGUUGUUCUUGAGAUUGAGAGGAAGAAGAAAUAAAAGAUUUUAUUUUUUUUUGUUACUAAGAAAUAAAAGAUUAAGAUUUUGAUUUUAUUUUUAA